UACAGAGGUCUCAAGCGUUGUUCGGAUUCAUUGGGCGUAAAGGGCGCGUAGGCGGCGGGGUAAGUCUGGUGUGAAAUCUCGGAGCUCAACUCCGAAAUUGCACUGGAUACUGCUCUGCUAGAGGGCUGGAGAGGAGAUCGGAAUUCACGGUGUAGCAGUGAAAUGCGUAGAUAUCGUGAGGAAGACCAGUGGCGAAGGCGGAUCUCUGGACAGCUCCUGACGCUGAGGCGCGAAGGCUAGGAGAGCAAACGGG
This 253-nucleotide ribosomal RNA is filed under the name uncultured bacterium. RNAcentral describes it as "partial 16S ribosomal RNA". It matches the Rfam family "Bacterial small subunit ribosomal RNA", at positions 524 to 776 of the family's 1533-position model. The record is from RNAcentral.